Molecule: long non-coding RNA, 261 nt
Filed under: Gossypium barbadense (sea-island cotton)
Lineage: Eukaryota; Viridiplantae; Streptophyta; Magnoliopsida; Malvales; Malvaceae
Description: long non-coding RNA (GBAR_LNC005691)
Source: RNAcentral
AGCCCAUUGGGCCUAAGCCCAUUCAGGUAACAGUGAUACUGGGCCAGAGCCCUUUUCAGAUUACAAUAAACUGGGCCUUAGCCCCUUAUUCAGAUAACAGUAUGGCCCAUAGGCCCAUUUCAAAAUACAUGCAACAUCAAUAACAUAUGCAAGCCCAUUUGGGGAGACUACUCAACCCACCAACCACUACACUCCACCCGUACCAGCCCUACACUCCAUGUGGGGAAUAGCUCAACCCACCCAGCCCAACACUCCCCAGUU